This 6452-nucleotide long non-coding RNA is filed under the name Homo sapiens (human). Its description in RNAcentral is "HSALNT0150312". Lineage: Eukaryota; Metazoa; Chordata; Mammalia; Primates; Hominidae. The record is from RNAcentral.
UGGAUUACAUCCUAAACCUUCCUCAAUGGAGAGGCAGUGAUUCAUACUCACUGGAAUUGACACCCACCUAUGCCAGAAGAAAAGAAGUGUGAAAUUAUGGAUGUAUAAGAUGGACAAGUAGAACGCAACUCAGAUCCUGACUCACUUUUAGAACGAUCACCAACAAAGAGCCACUCAAUUAGCAGACUGUAAUAUGAGAGAUAAAUAAAACUUUUGGAGAGUGAAGCACUUGUUCCUGAAGUGAUGUCAAAAGAGAGUGACCAGCCGGAUAAUGUAUAAAGAAGAUAUAGUAUUUUAUAAGGCCAUUAUGGCUCUAGACACUGUCUUUCAUUUGUGCAGGUUCAAGCUCAGAGGCACCAACAAAACAUCCAUGCACAAACUUAUAAUGUAAGAUAUUGAUUUAUUAGCUUCUAAUGAAAUAUGUUUUUAUUAACUAAGAGAUUGAUACAUAAAACAAAUCUUGAUACUUUAAGCAAGAAAUUUCCUUGUAGUGAAUAGCUUUACUAGAAAUAAAUUUAUUAUUCAAGAUAGUGGUUUGUGAACAUAGGAUUGUAAGUGAGAAGAUGUCAAUUAAGUUAGUUGUCUCUAUUAAUUGACUGUGCUGGUGUUGCAGUAGUUUUUCAGAAUUAACAUAACUAAUUGAAAGCAAAAACAUCUCUCCAAACAUCUCUGAGAAAAUGAUACAUUACUGUCUAAUUUUCCACCUUCUUUUCUAUGUUUCCUCCAGUUUAUAUUAUUAUUUCAGUUAGGUACAAUACAACUGAUUGAUGUAGAACUUCUUUUGUACUGUUUAUAAUCUUCUCCUUGGAACAUAAACUGCUAUUGCUUUUAUCAGAAGAAGCCUUACUCCUACAAGUAACACACAAACCACACACCUAGGUAAUUCUUUUAUGUAAAAAGUUAAUCUGAUGUAUUGAAUGUUCUCUUUAAAUUUCAAUUCCAGACAUCUAUUUUCCUGAUAUAUUUUACCAAUUUUGGGGAGUGUGCUCUAUACUAAUUGUUUUUAAGUAUAAUGAUGAUCAGCAUAAGAGUUAUUAUUAAUAUCCGCUAGCUGUGAGAUUUGUCUUGGAAAAUAAUACUUCUCAUUUGUAGAUCAGUUUUUCCCAGAACACAUUAUGUUGCAUAUUAGAUAAGAAAACAGUGCCUCUGCAGCAAAUUACAAAAGUCAGAGCAAGAGAGCUAGGGGAGUUGAGAAUCAGUACCUCAGAAAGAAACUUUGCUAGAAUUGUACCUUAUUUGUUUGAAGACCUAUUUCUUAUGUUGGGGAUGGGGAUGAGGAUGGGAAGCAUAAAUAGACACCGCUUGACAUCAGUGUCUGUAAUCUCAAAACUGAAAAACUAAAGUAUCAGUGAAAAAAUUUCUUCAGUUAUUCAUGGUGUUAGAGUAUUUGAAAAGCAAUAGAAAUAAAAAUGUUAAGGUAUUGGUUUUAGAUUUGUUGGGAGGUGAUUCUUCCUGAAUAGAGAGGCAUUGAUAUCCUUUGUUCUGAACCAUCUUUUCGAGAAUAUUUGUGUAGUACUUACUAUACUUUUAUUUAAACAUUCUCUCCACUAUGAUAAUAAAGAUAAUGUCUCCCUCAAGAGCAAAGGUUGAAAACCAAAGGAGAAAAAAAGAAAUGUUUAUUAUGUAUCCUUAAGGUUCUGUUUUUUAUUUUUGUGUUUAUUGUUAUCAGGUUUCCAUGUAACAGAGUAUUUUCGAGUGUGAGGCUUGACAAUGGCUCCAUGGAUUUAAUGUAUGCAUUCUCCUCUGCCUGGCUAUCACACACUAGAGAGAGGGAACACAAUGAUAUGCUCCCUCAGUUUUAUAAGUUUCUAAGCAUUGCCACAGCAUAAUUAUAAAGUAUAUGCUGAUACUCUUUAGGGGAACCAUGGUGGUGUCAUGACCAUGUGAACUCCCCAUGCAGGUAUUCAGUUCCCCUUCUUUCAACUCCCAGCUUUAACUUACCCUCCUGGCUUUAGAAAGCAGAACUUAAAAACUGAUGAGUAGGUAAUGCAAAAUUACAAUCAUUACAUUUUAGAUUUGAAAGACAUCAUGGAGAGCUUCUAAUCUUAUCACUCCAUUUUAUAAAGAGGGAGUAAAUUGAUCAGAAUUGCUAAGAAGAUGCUAGUCAGUUGUGAAAUCUCUUCUACCCAGAAUAGGACAGGAGUCUAUGAUUUACUCUACUUUCUUCCUAUGUAAAAUAACUUUACCCAGAUCAUCUACUUUCGUACUAUAAUAUAGACUCCCCAAAGGCAAUAAUGACGUUUUGUUCAACAUCUACCAAUUCCACAGCUCCCUGGCAUGUAACUGAAUUCAUAGCUAAUACAUUUGAUUUUACCUACUUGAGCAAAAUCUCCAGGGAAUAAUGGUGAGUACCUGAGUAAUGGAGGUAAAUGUCAUGAGUAAAAGUAUAGAUUCACUAGAUUCAAAUACUACAUUAAUGUCUACUGUGUGACAUUAAGUAAAUUAUUUAAAUUCUCUAAAUCUUCAGUUUUAUUAUUUUUAACUUUGAAAUAGUAAUAGCUAAAAAGUAGAUAUGACCAACAUGAAAUAAUUAGGGUAAAAUGCUGACUUACUACCAAGUAUGGAGCAUAGUAAAUGCUCAGUGAAUUAUAGUUAUAUUUUUCCAUAAAAGGUACAAUAACUUACGAAGUUCUUAAAAGGCAUUAUAUUUUAAAUCUACUUGAACAUCUUCUUCCUGGAUUACUGAGCAACCAGACAUAAUUCUUUUUUCCUUUUUUGAGUCAGCCUCUUCCGUUUAGUUCUUCCAAAAACAUCUUCCACUCAAGGCUACCUAAAAUAAACCCUUCUGCUGGAUCUACUGUUAGGUUACUCUUCCCAUCUCAGUUGCUGUGUUAUAUUUUUAUACUUGAGGGAUUAUAUUUCCUGCAGUUGAGUCUAAUUUACACCCUUAGGUUAGAUGAAUAGUUUGUAAUUUGAAGUUUGGAACUGAUAAGAUGGAAGCACAACUAAUAUACAAUACAAAGUAAAACCAUUUAAAUCAUCACAUGCCUCAUACAAGUAUCUAUUGACUACUUAUUAUACACCAGGCAUCUUUCUAACAGUACAGUAAUUAAUAAGUCUCCAAUAAUGGUUUAUGGUAUUUAACUGCUUGAAAUUAUUAACAUUUAAAGUAAUAAUCAUAGCUAACAUUUAUUAGAUAUUUAUUAGGUGCCAAGCUUUUUCCAAGUGUUUUAUAAACUGUUAAUUCAUUUACUCCUUGCAAAAAACCCUUGAGAUAAAUAUUAUUAUCUCCUAUAAACAAAAGUAAAAGAAGCAAAAUGUGUCUAAGUAAUUUAUUGCACGUCAAACAGUUAGGAAAUGGUAAAACUGGGCCAAAAAACUGAAAUAGUCUGGCUCCAAAGCCCUUGCUAUUAAUCACUAUGUAGAAAGACAAUAGAGGCAUACAGGCAGUAAAAUGCAAUGAAAAAGAAAACUCAAAGCCACAAGAGAUAUUGUAUUAAGGUUAGGUUUUUAUUUGAAGAAUUUUGAUCUAGGUUAGCUUAUAAUAUAGUACUUUCUCAAUUAUAUCAGCUAAUUUUUUAUGUGUCAAAAUGCUCUACAGAGACCCCAAUGGGGAUGGGGUGAUGUUAGUUUUACCAUCAUCAUCACUUACUAUUAACUUUCUGGCUGUUAAGUUUCUCAGCUAAAAUAAGGUGCUCACUUGUCUUGUAGAUACCAUGCACUAUAUAUUUUCUAAGAAAUUCCAAGGUUUUAGUAAUUGUGCUUCAUGAACAUAUUAUGUUUUAUGUGUGUGAGUGUGCAUGUGUGUGUAUUCAGUGAAGUUGGAGACUAUGUUUUAAUUUCUGUGUUUUACAUGCUUCCCUAAUUCUUUCUACCUGACAGAUCCAUAAUUAGUAUGUUUUUAAAUGCCACCUGAAUAAAUCUCCCAACUUGAUAAUAAUCCUGUUGGUUAACAGACUAAAAGAAGGAAUUUAAACUCUUUUAGGGUGUGACCUAAGCCCAUUACUCAUAAGUUGUUCGAAAUCUUUUCUAUUUGAUUCUGUGAUGCUGUGAUUAUUCAGAAUGGUUAACUAAUCUUGGAAAUUACUGAACCUGAUGAUAACUUUAAUUUCAAGACUUUGAAGUACUCUCCUUGAUGCCUCACCGCUUUUAUGGUUGUCUUCAAAGUUCACACUGUCUCAUUUGCAGAAAUUUCUAUGUAGAUCUAUUGCAAAUUGUAUAUAAUGUUUCUUGUGCUCAUCAUAUCCUCAUCAACAUAUUUUGAGGUUAUUAAUAGCAUGAUAAUUUUGAAGUGUUAUGUAAAAGAAGAAGCCUUUUAUGUAAAGGAGAUCACAUUAAUCCAAACUGAAGUAUAUGCAGUAUAGGCUUGAGGGAAAAGAAAUUUGAAUGCAAAUCAAAUUGGAUUUUUUUCUGGAAAUGUUCUGUUUAAGUCUGUGAGGAAGUCACUGCAGCUGUGAUUAAAACUUAUUUUCUUAUAUUUGAUCAGAAAUAAAAGUCCCUCUCCUUUUCAAAAGGGGUUUGUUAUGAAGGAACUUUACAACACUUCCAAUCCCAUUUAGUUAUUCAUUCAAGAGCCAUUGCCUUUCACCAGGGCAAUAUUAGCAGAAUUGGAAGUGUAACAAAUACAUAAAAUAAUCAGUGGGUCGAAUGAGAGGGAGAUCACAGAGACAAUGAGGGAAGACAGCUCUUUAUACAAGAUUUCUAGUAAAGAAAAGGAGGAUCCAAAUCAUGAGCUGAAGAAUCCCUGGCAGCCUCAAUGGGUGAAGAGAGGUUUUAAUGAAGCAUCAAAGCAAGGGAUGGGGCAUCUUUUGCCUUUUGAGGAAAAGGGCAUUUAAUAUUCAUGUGUUUCUCAGUGAGCAGGUCUAUGCAAACCUACCUCCAAAGUCAGAGGAAGCUGAGAGGCCUAAGAAAGAGGCUGACAAAUCCCAUUUUUUAGAAUCAAACAUUUCGCAGGGAUUUAGGAACAGAAGCCAUGUCUGUGUCUCAAGCAGUGUUGAGAUAAGAUACUGGAUCCCCAUGCCAUUGUCCCUCAGACCUAGGGCUUAUAUAACAUAGGGAAGUGGUGACUCAGAAGGCAUGUGUAGGACAACUGCAGUACAAUAAUAUCAAGGUUAAUUUGACCUAAGGGCAGGAUUUAUGGUAAGCACCUGCUCUUACAUAAGAAACAAUAGAUGAACUGAAAAUCGUAGCAGCUUCCCAGAGCAGGAAUUAAUCAGAAGUCAACAUGUUGAAUUAGCAUCCACAGUGGAGCUGCCUUGGCCUGCACAUCAUCUUUGCAAGAGAGCUAUUCUUGUAUUGACUUCAUGAUCUCUUGUUUUGCCUUCAAGCUUCCUUAAAAUCCAUGGUUUUUGUCAUUUAAAAAAACAAGCAGGGUAAGGAGUUAUGGAGGAAAGGUGGAGAAAUGUUAUUUUAGAUAGCAGUCAGAAAAAGCUUGUGCGAGGGGAGAUACUUCAGCAGUAAUCAUAAUGAAAUGAGGGAACAAGACAUGCAGAUGACUAAUAAGAGCACUCCACCUCUGGGCACAGUAGCUCAUGCCUGUAAUACCAGCACUUUGGGAGGGCGAGGUGGGCCAAUCACCUGAGGUCAGGAGUUCGAGGCCAGCCCUACCAACAUGCUGAAACCCUGUCUCUACUAAAAAUACAAAAUUUAGCUGAGCAUGGUGGCACAUGCCUGUAAUCCCAACGUCUCGAGAGGCUGAGGCCAGAUAAUCUCUUGAACCUGAGAGACAGAGGUUGCAGUGAGACAAGAUCAUGGCACUGCACUCCAGCCUGGGCAGCACAGUGAGACUUCAUCUCAAAAAAAUAAUAAUAAAGAUAAAUAAAAAUAAAAAUAAAAUAAGAGCACUCCAGAUUAAUUCCAGCAAAGGCAAUGGAAUUAAUGUCAGAAAGUUUAUGGGAAGUUUGAAAAGCAGUAAAAAAGUUAAUAAAAUUCAUUAUGGUCAAUGAAGUAGACAAUGGUAAAAUGAUGCCAUAAAGAACACUACGGACAAGAUAACAGGGAAAUUUAACACCAUGUUGAGAACUUUGGAUUUCAUCUGUGUAGGAUGGGAUGCCAUCUGAGUGCACUGAAAGGGGAUGUUUCAUGAUAAGAAAUACAUUUUAAAAGGAUCAUUCUAGCCACUGGACAUUGAACAGAUUUUUAGUAGGUAUUGAAUAAUUGAGGACCUGAAAGACCCUGGUAAGGAGUUUGACAUUUAAUAUAAAUGUGACUGAAAGCCAUUUGAGUGAUAUAAAUAAAGUAUGAAAUGAUCAAGUGUAUGACUUUCAGGGAUGUUUUAGUUGCUGUAUAGAUAAUAAUUUUUAGGAGAACCAGGAAGAUAAUUAGGAGACCAUUUUAGUGGUCCAAGUAAAACAAAGUAGUGAUUUGGACUAAACAGUUGGUAGGAAAUGGUAAAAAGUAGUUGGUUUUGGAUAUUGUAAAGGUUCAGAUAAAGGAACUUGAUGUUAGAUUGAAUAUGUGAUUUAUAAGAAAUGGGAGAUGGCCGGGCACGGUGGCUCAUGCCUGUAAUCCCA